UGUCUGUCUGUCUGUCUGUCUCUCUGCCUGUCUGUCUGUCUGUCUCUCUGUCUGUAGCUGCUCGGUGAAUAUGACUGAUGACAUAUUUUGUGUUGGUUGAAGCCAGAUAAAGACAGCUUCUUGUUUGAGCCGUGAUUACACCAGGUGCUUUAAUAACACUGUGUACACAGGCACUGAUGUUCACAAACAGACUUUACUACCGCACGCACACAGACAGGUAAACAGACACUGACACUGACACAGGCCCGACCCACCCAGUGGACAGACGCCCUGUUUGCAUAGAGAUGUCUUUGUGCCCCGGCGUCCGGACUAUCAACACGGCUCCUAACUGAUUUGAAUGCAGGUUCCCUUUUUUUGAAAUCGUGUUUAUUCUGUAUAAAGUCUUGUUUGUAACUAUAUCAGGCAGAAAAACAGGCUUCACAAAUCAGCCACUGUAUUUAAAAAAAAAAGGAAAUGUGUAAAAUGUGUUUAUCGUGGACCAACUCUAUGUUUUACUGUGUGUGAGUUCUCUGGUCUUCUCUAAAAGCAUGGACUUUAAAGAAUCAGGUUGAUCAUAGACUCUAAAACCGUGGUUCCUGACCAUUUUUUGGCCUGUGGUCCUAUUUUGACAUCACAAAUUUCUGGCGACCCCAGAGACAUUUUUGCAGCUGUGCAAUCACACGAUCUCAGUCUAUCGUCAUGAAAGUGAUCGCAGUUGUGUGUGGUGUUUCACAUCAUCAUUUUAAAAAAGAAUAAUGAUUAGUUGAAAAAACAUUUUUAGUAGUAAUUUUUUAAAAUUGAAUUUCCGACGACCCCAUUCAAAAUUAGAUGGGACCCUAGGUGGGUUCACGACCCCAAGCUUGAAAACCACUGCUCUAAAAUGACCCUAGGCGUGAAUGUGAGCGUGAAUGGACUGUCGGACUGUACAGGAUUUACAACACCCCCCCCAGACCCUGAGCGAAGGAAUAAGCAGUAGAUAAUGGAUGGACGUUCCUUACAGCACUCAAUGGGAUUGGAAGCUGCUUGGAGAGAGAUGUGCUGUCCACCAGGCUGAGCGGGAUCUCAAGGACUUUGGUGCCAUUGACGAUCUUCUCGUAGCUGGUGGUGGUGACCGUCUUGCCGGUGAUGCGGUGAACUUGGUAGAAGGCGUGAGGUUUGAGGAUGCGCUCGUCUGCGGUACCUAUGAAGAUCUGCAGCCCCAGCGGCUCCUUGCCUCUAAACCAAAAAAGUUAAGAACAAAAAUAGGAACUGAUAAAGAGGAUGAAGCGGUUAGAGAUGUCACUUUCCACCUGAGAGUAACUCCGAAGGAAACCUGCAAAAACCACAAGGCAUCAAGCUGCAUCUACACAAACGCUGCUGUAGUCACAGACUCAGGUGCAUAACCUUUGUUACACAAUGAACCGUGUGCACAACGGUAAAGCACCGGCAUCACUGCAAAAAGGCCGUCCUCCAAAAGAGAGAUUCAGUGUGUGUGUGUGUGUGUGUGCAUUUUUUUUUUUGUGCCGACCAAUAAAAAAAAUCAUGUUAGGUCUUCAUACUUCACGUGCUGCAGAGUUCUUUUUUUAUGAUCACACAUUUGCAUAAACCUUCACGUUCGGCUUCAUUUCAUUCCGAGAGCAGCCGGUGGUAAAAGUGUUUUGCCUGUUGGCAUGUGGACUGGAGGGGCUGGGUAUCGAACCGCCAACAUUCCAGAUUUUGAAAGAGAAACCCCCGGGCACAGCAAGAAAGCAAGAUUUGGUGUGGCUGCAACCGUCAGAGCUCACAGCUGCUGCUGGUUUUCACGCAGACACUAUGGUAACAUGAAUGAGUGUGUAGGGUCCAGUUCCAGGUAUCUGACACACGGGCUGAGACAGACGGACGGACGGACGGACGGACGGAGUCCACUGCAAACACUCUGCGAGCCACGUGAGCCCUCGGCCGGUUGUCAUGGCAGAGGCAGGGGCAGUGAGUCAUGACAGAGAGCGGCGUAGGAAAAAUAAAGUGGAGCGCGGCAUAGCUGGGACAGUAACAGAGUGUAUGUAGUGUCGAGGAAAGGAGCGAGGAAAAACACAGGGAGGAGGGGGAGGGAGGAGGGGAGAGGAGAGGAAGAUGAGGUGAGGGAGUGCACUCGUGACUCGUGGCUGGUGAGCCCUGACCAUCUGAUUGGUCUGGCAGCGCGGGGCAAACUGACCUCAGGGCCAGGACUUCUGGGGAUGGGCAGUAAAUGGAAAAGAAACCUGUGAAGGUUUUAAUUCCAAUGAUUUUAUAAUAUCUCUAACAUAAACAGCUCUGGCAGUGUUGCCACGGUGACCGGGGAUUUGAGGUGAAUGUCCUCCUGGAUCAUUGGUCUCUGAACUCUGUGUGUGUUUGUUUUCUGUUUGAAUUUGAUUUUUAGCAAUAUUAGCUCUAGCCUUUUUCUUCUUCUUCUCUAACAUUAAUCAAACCAGAGGUGAACGAUCGAGCCUUACAUCUGGUAUGGACUGGUGGAAAAAAUCAAAUAUCAAAUAAAUUUAAUAUAAUAAGUCCAGAUCUAGCAAAUUAAAAAAACGAUUGCAGCUGGAGUCGUAGGUUUUCGGGAAUUCUAAGACAAUUCUGGGUCAAAUCUGGGUUGAGUCUUCACUAGGUUCUGUGUCAGAUUCCAAGCUACGACAUAAAAACCCAAAUAGAGUUUGAGUCAAGUUCCUAUCAAAGUCAGUGAAAUGAAUUCUAUGCUCAGUUCCCUGAAUGUAGUGUGAGGUAAUUCACCGAGGUUUAGAGUCAGAAUCCAGGUUACUGUCAAAACGACAUGAAAACGUUUCCAAGUCAAGGGAACUGCUGCAAGUUCCUGCUCAAAACUCAUUUCAUGUCCUUAUCCACCGCUGCGAUCCACGUAUUGAGCCAACCCAACAUCAGGAAACACUGAGCCGGACUAGUGUUUCUGCACCAGUAAAGCCUCAGGGCAUUACAGAUGUGUUGUGUGAGGGUGGUUUUUCACUUACACUGAACACCUGCGUCUGUGCGUCACAGCACACGCCUGUUGAUAAGGCUGUUAUUAGGAGCUUAUUAAAUCAAUAUCUCAGUAGUAUCCAUUGGGAGGUAUGAAGAAAUUCAAACAGUUUCGGUCGGUUAAUACGUGUCGUCCAUGACCUCGUUUACAACCUAAUUGCGCCCUGGGAAUAUUUAUUAUUUAAUUUAAUUAAGAUGACACAUUUUUCCCAUAUCAAUAAUUCUGGCGUUUGGAUUAGUCUCAAAUAAAAACUUCUGUGAAACACGUACAUCUACCUGCUGUUGUUUGUCUUUCGGUUUCAUUUCUAGGAACGUUCAUUUGACUCAAUUAACCCACAGCUCCCGUGCGACUGAUUAGGUCUAAAAUGGCAACUUUCAGUUUAUCGUUGCUCGAUGUGGACACGGCUUGAUGUUGUCUCUCUGUCUCUCAAAUCAAAAGAAUUUUCCCUUGAGAAACAAACCGAAGGAUAGCUCACAGCUGGAGAAAGAGUUUGUCUGGCCAAGACUAUAAAUAAAGUUUUGACUUUGUCCAACAGACAACCCAGGUGAAGCUUCCUGACACACUUUUACUUCCUAGCCUGCCAGCUGAGAGGGGCUUGAAGUCAGCUCCACACACUCACCAAAGCAGUGUGUAAGAGGAAGUCGGGGACGACAUGAACACAGAUCUGCUUUGUGGUCAGGGUGAACAACAGCAACAGCAGCAGCAGCAGCAGCAGCAGCAGCAGCAGCAGCAGCAGCAGCAGCAGCAGCGGUAGUGAAAGUCUGUGUUGCUCACUGACCUGAGUUCAAUUUUGAACUCAUACCGCAUCAUAAGUCUGGGGCGGCCAUGAUUGGUUUUGUGUAAAAAGGGAAAGUAGAGGAACUCACACAGAGUCACUGCUGCUGAGCAAGGGCAGUAAAAACACCACUGCUGAGU
Molecule: long non-coding RNA, 3859 nt
Organism: Cynoglossus semilaevis (tongue sole)
Lineage: Eukaryota; Metazoa; Chordata; Actinopteri; Pleuronectiformes; Cynoglossidae
Exons: 3
Source: RefSeq, a predicted model, not a curated record